UAUAGAAUAAGUAUAUAAAGUAUGUUUGUAGAGUUUUACAAUGCGUUUUGAGCUAAAUGUAUCACAAAGUAAUCAAAGUUUAAAAAAUUAACUUACACAGUAAAAUGUUAUGGUAAGCCAUGGUUAAUUGAUUAUUGAAGGAAGAAAUUUUUAAUAAAUUUAACGUAGCCUAGGUGUACAGUUUUUCUAAAGUCUACAGUAGUGUAUGGUAAUGUCCUCAGCCUUCACAUUCACUCACCACUCACUCACUGCCUCACCCAGAGCAAUUUCCAGUCCAUUCAUAUGUGCCUUAUAAAGAUGUACCAUUUUUAUCUUUUAUAUGAUAUUUUUACUUUGCUUUUCCUGUGUUUGGACAUGUAUAGAUACAUAAAUACUUGCUCUCGAGUUAUAGUUGCCUACAGCAUUUGGCAAAGUAACUUGCUAUGCAGAUUUGUAGCAAGGAGCAAUAGGCUGUAUCAUACAGCCUAGGUGUGUAGUAGGCUAUAUCAUUUAGGCUGUGUAAGUACACUUUAUGAUUUUUGUACAUUGAUGAAAUUGCCUAAUGAUGUAUUUCUCAGAAUAUGUUCCCAUCAUUAGGUGACACAUUACUUAUUUAUAUUUUUCAGACAGUACAAAUUUUCAAAGGCUAUUGAAAAAGCUUGUGUCUCUAAUAAGUAAAUGGAUCUAUGUUACUUUAUGCAUUGAAAGCCCGAAUUGAUAGUUCUGUAACAUGCUGUAUCUUAUGCAGUUUUUUCCGGUGAAAACCAUUUUCACUUCUGUUUCACCAGGAGGGCUAGGCCUGCUUACUGUCCCAAAAUGCAGCUAUCAAACUGUUUUUCUACUCUCAAACAGUCUGCCUUAUUAACGUUUGUGUGUGUGUGUUGUGGAGGCAAUUUGUGUAUCUCAUAACAGUUACUGCAUUUUUUUCUGAUUUUAAAAGCAACUCAUUUUUAUUUUAGGAUGUCUACACACUAGAGAAAUAUUUGAUUUGAUAACUUUGCUAAUAUAAACAAUGUUGCAACAUACAGCCUUGUGCUGAGCUUUCAUGUCUGUGUGUAAGUAUUCCUGAAGUUAAAACUAGGUGCAUUUGUAAUUUUGAGAGAUGCUUUCAAAUUGUCAUUUAUUUAUGUCAUGCUUUCAUACACAUUAUAUUCUCACCAGCAGUGUGUAAUAAUGCCCCUUUUCUUACAUCAUCCACAUCAAUGUCAUGAAUAUUAUCAGAUUUUUUUGGUCUUUAUCAAUCUAAUAGGGAAAAAAAGUCUUACUUUUAUUUCUCUUAUUAUGAUUGAAAGUUUUUUUCUAGUUUAAGAAUCACUUAUAUUUCCAUUUUUAUGAAUUCUCAGCUUAUAUAAUUUGCUUCUUUUUCUUUCAAGGGGUUUAUUUUUUUGCGGUUUGGAGACUUGCAUAUUGCAUAGGAUAUUAGUUAUCAAUAUUUUUCCCAGUUUAUCUUUUGAUACUUUUCCUCUAGAUUUUUGUCAUUCAUUACUUAUGUUUUUGUUUUUCUGUUUAUGAUAGACAGUAGCUUCAAUGUGAGAUUAUUUAAAAAUAUUUCCAUGAUUUCUUUUAGUAAUAUUAUGUACACUUCAUAUUCUGUAUUUAAAUAUUUGAUUUAUUAAUAAUAUAUUCUAUCGGGCUGAUAAGGCAAUAUAACAAUCAAGGUGAAGAAGAGAAGGGUUGGGGAAUAAUUAGAGUAAGAUGCUUGCUAAGAAAGUUGGAUAAAAGCACUCAAAUGUUUUUAUUUGUUUUCUAAAUGGUAACUUAGUUGCCCUAAUAUAUUUUAGUGAAAUAUUCAUUUUCAACAUGAAUUUGCAAUGCCAUCUUUAUCCUGUACAUAAUUGCCAAAUGUGCUAGAGUUUGUUUGCUGACGUUUUAAUGUUAUUGACAUUAAAUCUUCAUGCUUAGCAUUCACUAUACUGGUUUAGUUAUUCUAGCUGUAAAAUGCAUUUUAACAUUUGAAAUAGAUAUUGUUUCCAUAUUUCUUGUCUUUUUUCAUCAGUUUCACAGAUUUUCAUGCCUGUUUAUAUUACCAUCUGAACUCUAGAAUCAAGAUAUGUAUUUCUCCAGAAGACGAAGCAACUUGUUGCUCAUCUGCUGUCAUUAGUGUUAAUGGAUUUUAUGUGUGGCCCAAGACAGUUCUUCUUCCAGUGUGACCUGGAGAAGCCAAAAGAUUGGACACCCCUGCUUUAACUUUUCACCAUGGGUCAAGCUGAAGUGACCUCCAAGACCUGGAGCCUUUUAACUGUGGGGACAGUUAUGAUCUGAUGGCAGAGCUGAGGCAUCAAAGGCAUCAACCUAUUUCCCAGGGACCUCAAGCUACUGGUAUACUGGAGUAGUAACUCCCUACCCUAUGCAAUAGGUGAGACAGCACCCUGCACCCUGGAAAUACGAGCCUCUGGCCCAGUGAAGCAGCUGUACCUCUAAGUAUCAUAGUUGAUUCCACACCUUGAGCCCACUGAUCCCGAGGCUCUACUAACCCAUGUAGUUGUACUUUCUGGGGCUAAACAGACAGAGUAGAGUCUUGGCUGAACUGUGGCUAUGUACCUUCCAGACCAAAAAGCCCAUAGUGCCCACUUACCCAGAACUGGACCCGACUCCUACAGUCUGAGCUGCAAAGACACCCCGUCUCUUCUGAAGGGAGCAUCACUAUACUGCUUCCUGUCCCCUGGGGCUUAAAUCAAUCAGGAACUUGCAUCCUUGCUGCUAUACCUGGCCAUGUAAAGUCUGGGAUACUCCUAUGUCCUACCAUUUUCAGUUCCAGAGUCACCACCUCCUGGUACCUUAUUUUCUGGAGCCCACGUGCCACUGUGCCCUGUUUGUGCUGGGUCCUGAAUUGCAGCUAUGCCCAACUCUCUGGGGCCUGAGCCUCUGUAGCACUUUUUUCCUCUUUUUUUUUUUCAAGAUCCAUGCUGGUGCCUCCCAGGGUUAGAACCAUAGCUACAUCCCAGCUCCUAGGACAAAGCUACUGAGAUGUGUAGGAGUUCGGUCAGGGUGGUGGGAGAAAUUUUAGAAAUGCAAAUCUUCUUGGAAGGCCAGAAGGUGCAAUGCAGAGGAGUUUAUCUAAAUAGUUUAUUUACUCAUGUGAUCCUAAGACUGAUCUUUGGUUUACCAUGGAGGGGGGAGGCAUAUGAGUGCUCUCUACUCAGGGGGUCAGCAAUGUUAAUUACCCUCUAAUGGUGUUUACUUGAGACCUUUAUUAUUUAAUCUGUACUUAAUAAAUGUGAAAGCUGCAAGCUUAUCAAGGCUGCUGCUGACUCUUGCAGUGGACCCCAGGCUGGACAAAGGCAAAAUAUCUGUGUCAGUAUAUGUUUUUGAUCUGUCACUCAGUCUGUGGGUCCAUCCCAGCAGGAUGUGCCUCAGAGAAACAGUCCUCAGCUUAGUGGGAGAAUUGCAUUCUCUUGUGCUUUGCAGAGUGAGCCUGUGACCUCAAUUUCUGGGUUCUGUGGUACUUUGACAAAAUGCUUAGCCCAAGAAUCCAGUUCCACAGCUGCUCCAAGGACCUGUGUUCUAUAUUCCAAUGCUUUUGUUGCUGCUUGAUAGCCAUAUCACACCCAAUAUCAAGAAAGAUCCCAGCUAAGACUCCCCACUGUGAGAAAAACAAGAAUAAGAGGAUCCCUAGAGUCUUUACCCUAAUAACUUAUGCAGCCACCAUUACUGCAACAAAUUCCUACAGUCUAGGCUACAUAGGCACUUCUAGUCAUCAAAAACAUUGAUCAGAAUCAGAGAAGCUGAAUGUAGAUUACACUACUGUGUCCACAUGGUGAGUUGCUUGCACCCUGUUCAAUCUGUAAUGCAGGCCUAUCUAUAUGUGAAAGCCUCCCCCAUGAAAGCCACUCUGUAAAGUUUAGGAGUGACUUCACUGUCUGAUGCACAGACAUCAAUGCAGGGACACAAGAAAGAUGAAAAGGAAAUAUGACAGCACCAAAGAAACACAAUAAUUCUUCAGUAAUGGACCCCACAAAAAUAGAAAUUUACAAAUUGCCUAAAAAGGAAUUCAAAAUCAUGAUCUUAAGGAAAUUUAGUGAGACAUAAGGUAAUAGAAAUAAAUGAUUCAAUGAAUUCAGGAAAACAAUGAUCCGAAUGAGAAAUUCAAAUAAGAGGUAUAUGAAAGAACCAUACUGAAUUCUUGGACCUAAAUACAAUGAAUUAAAAAAAUAUGGUUGAGGUUUCACAGCAGAGGAGAUCAAAAAGAAAGAAUUUUUGAACUGUGGUAUCAGUCUUUUGACAUUCUCAAAGGAAAAUUAAGAGUUUAAAUCCUGGCCAAUGUAGUGAAACCCCAUCUUUACUAAAAAUACAAAAAUGAGCUGGGCAUGGAGCUGCGUGCCUAUAGUCCCAGCUACUAGGGAGGCUGAGGCAGGAGAAUCACUUGAACCCAGGUGGUGGAGGUUACAGUGAGCUGAGAUCAUGCCACUGCACUCCAGCCUGGCAACAGAGUGAGAAUCUGUCAAAAAAAAAAAAAAAAAAAAAACAAAGACAACUACAGGACUGAUGGCACACUGUUAAGUGAAUAAAUAUUUGUAUUAUUGGAGUCCCAAAAGGAUAAGAGAAAGAUAAAGGAGCAGAAAGCCUAUGUAAACUAAUUGCUGAGUAUUUCCCAAGUCUGGGAAGAGAUAUGGACAUCCAGAUCCAUUAAGCUCAAGGAUUUCUAAUAUAUUCAACCUGAAGAGAUUCUUUCUGAGACAUAUUAAAACCAAACUGUUGAAAGUCAAAGUUAAAGAGAUAAUUUUAAAAGAAAGAAGAGAAAAAUAUCAAGCCACAUAUAAGAGAAUCUCUAUUGGACUAUGAGCACAUUUCUCAGGAUGAAUUUUGCAGUCUAGGAGAUAAUGGAAUUACAUUGUCAAAGUGCUGAAAUGGGGUGGGGGGAACCCAUCAGCCAAGAGUAGUAUACCCAGCAAAGCAACGUAGUAUACUUGGCACAAGCCAAGAUAAUUUAUUACAGUUGGAGCUGCCUUACAAGAAAUGCUUAAGGAAGUUCUUCAAGUAGAAACCAAAGGAUGAUCAGUAGUAUCAUGAAUACAUAUGAAAAUGUAAAACUCACUACUAGAGACAAAUACAUAAUCAAAUCCUAAGUGUUCCAAUACUUUAACGGCAUUGUGAAAGUCAUAUAUAUCUCUAGUAUGAAGGUUAAAGUCAAAAUCAUCAAAAAUAUCUAAAGCUAUAAGUGUUACAACAUAUAUAAUAUAAAAAGUUGUAAAUUGUGACAUCAAAAAUAUAAAUGUGAUAAAAAUCUCGUGUUUUUAUAUAUAUCAGGAAUUGUUGGCUUAAAAUAGUAGACUAUAGGAUGUUUUUGUCAGCCUCAUGGUGACCAAAAAAACCUACAGUAGAUACACUAAUGAUAAAGAUAAAAGAAACAGAAGUUAGCAUUACAGAAAAUUACCAAAUCAUAAAGGUGAGUGACAAGAGAAAUUAAGGAACAAAGAAACUACAAAAAAAGCAGAGAACAAAUAGCAAAAAUGGCAGUAGCAAGUCCCUAUCAGUAACAACCUUGAAUGUAAAUUGAUCAAAUUCAACCACUCUGUGUAAUUUCAUUGGGUAAUUUGACUCAUUUACAUUCAACACAGAGUGAUUGAAUGGACAAAAAUCAAUAUCCAACCAUAUGCUGCCUGAAAGAGACCCAUUCAAGCUUUAAGGAUACACAGAGACUGAAAGUGAAGGGACAGAAGUAGAUAUUAAAAGCAAAUUGUAAUCAAAAAACCAGCAGUGGCUAUACCUACCUGAUAAAAUAGACUUCAAGUCAAAAACUAACAUAUGAUAAAAAAAACAUUGUUACUGAAUGAAAUCAAUCAGUUUAUCAAGAUGGCAUAAUCAUUGUAAAUAUAUAUUCACACAAUAUUGGACUAUUUCAAUACAUAAGCUAUUAAUGAACACAGAGAGGAAUAGAUAGCAAUACAAUAAUAGAAGGAUGCUUUGUACCCCACUUUCAACAAUAGACAUAUUAAACAGACAGAGAGUCCAGUAGAUACUGGACUUAAAAAGUACUUUUGACCAAGUGGACUUAGCAGACACAUACAGAACAUUCCAUCUAGCAGCAACAGAAAAAUACAUAUUUUUUUCAGAGUACAUGAAACAAUGUUAGGUGAUAAAACAUUUUUUAACAAAUUUAAGAAUAUUUAAGUCCGAUUGAGUAUAAUUUCUGACAACAAUUGUAUGAAACUAGUAAUCGAUAACAGGAGAAAUCAUGAAAAUUUUAUUAAUUUGUGGAAAUUAAAUAACAUGCUCCUGGACAACCAGUGGAUCAGAGAAGAAAUCAAAAGAAAUCUUGAGACAAACACAAUGGGAACAUAAUAUACCAAAACUUAUGCAAUAUAGCAAAAGCAGUUUUAGAGGAAAGUUUAUAGAAAUAAAUGCCUACAUUUAAAAAGAAGAAAUAUUCCAUAAAUAUGGUCUAAUUGUCAAGGAACUAGAAAAAGAAAAAACUAGGAAAAUGAAAGAAAUAAUACAUAGCAGAAUAGAAAUAAAUCUAAUAAGUCAGGCACAGUGGCUCACACCUGUAAUCCCAGCCCUUUGUGAGGCUGAGGUGGGCAAAUCAUGAGGUCAAGAGGUCAAGACCAUCAUGGCCAACAUUGUGUAACCCCAUCUCUACUAAAAAUAUGAAAAUUAGCUGGGUAUGGUAGAGUGUGCCUGUAGUCCCCACUAUUCAGUAGGCUGAGGCAAGAGAAUGGCUUGAACCCAGGAGGUGGAGAUUACAGUGAGCUGAGAUCGUGUCACUGCACUCCAGCUGAUGACAGAGCAAGAUUUCAUCAAAAUAAAACACACACACACAAAAAGAAAGAAAUCAAGUAAGAACAGAUAAGCCAUAUGAAGAGAAAUAAAACUAAGAGUUUUUUUCCUGAAGAAAAAAAGUUGACAAACCUCUUAGCUAGUCUCACCAAGAAAAAAAAAAAAAACUUAAAGGAAUACAACCAGAGAUGAAAGAGAACUAAUUAUUGCAAACACUUUACAAAUGAAAAGGAUAAAAAAAACUAUAAUGAACAAUUCAAUGCCAAAAAAAAUUGGAUAAUCUAGGUGCAAUGAAAAAAAUUCUAAAAAAAUAGCUCCAACCAAGAUGGAGAUAGGAAGAAAUAGAAAGCCCAAAUAGACCAAUAAGAAAGAAAUUGAAAAAUUAAUCAAAAACUCCCAACAAAGAAAAACCUAGGACCAGAUAGCUUUACAGCCAAAUUCUACCAAACAUUCAAUGAAGAAUUUAUAUCAAUCCUUUGUAGACUCUUUUGAAACAUAAAGCUAAAGGAACUACUUUUAAACAUAUUUCAUGAGGCCAACAUUACCUUAAUACAUAAGUCAGACAAAGACAUCACAGGAAAAGAAAAACAUAGGGCAAUUUCUCUGAUGAAAAGCAUUGCAAAAAUCCUUAUUAAAAUAUUAGUAAAUUAAAUCCAGCAACAAGUCAAAAAGAUCAUGACUGAAUGGGAUUUAUCCCUGGCAUGCAAGACUGGUUGAACGUAUGCAAAUCAAUCAAUGUGAUACAUCACAUUAACAGAAUAAAAGAUUAAAAACCAUGUGAUUAUCUCAAUUGAUACAGAAAAAGCAUUGCCUACUCCAACAUCCUUUCUUGAUAAAAAUACUCAGCAGUUUAGGUAUAGAAAGAAAGUUUUUCAUCAUAAUUAGAGUCUUUUAUUAAAAAAACACCCACAGCUAAUACUAUAAUCAAUGGGGGAAAACUGAAAGCUUUUCCAUUGAGAUUUGGUAAAAAGCAAGGGAUGUCCACUCUCACACAUCUAUUCAAUAUAGUGCUGAAAGUACUAGCAAGAACAAUCAGACAAGAAAAAAGAAAAAGAAGCAGAAGAAAAGAAAAGGCUUCUCAGUUAAAGGGAAGAAAUUAAAUUAUUUCUAUUUGCAGCUGAAAUAAUUCUGUAUGUAAAAACUCUCCAGAAUGCCAGAAAAAAACUCUUAGAACUACUAAAUGAAUAUGGCAAAGUUGAAGGAUACAAUAUCGAAAUACAAAAAUUGGCAGCAUGUAUAUACAAAACUGAUAACCCAACCUACAGACCAAUGGGAAAGAUUAGAGAAUCACACACACACAAAAAGAACACCAUCUGAUCUUCAAUAAAGUCUCACUCUUACUAUGUUUUUAAAAUUCUGAGAAGUGUCGCCUACACUGGAAAUAUUUGCUAAACCCAAACUUUCAGGAUGCUAGUAGGAUACACUUUAAUUGAAUCUAUAAAAGUAAUUCCCCAGGAGUGCACCUUUGACUAAUUUACAGAAACUAAUAAGGGAUUUACAGAGGAAAAUAAAUAAAUAAAAUUGAAAAAAUGACUGGUCUUCCUUGGCUCAGCCUAAUAUUUAAAACUGGAAAGACUUGGGAAUUAAGUUUUGGUGGUUCAUAUUAUGGCAUUUCACUUUGUUUUUACUUGGGAGGGUUGAAAUGUGUAUCUCUAUUGCAUUUUACGUGGUUCACUCCAGUGGUCCAGGACACUGUUAAUAUCAUGUCCACUAGAAAUUCUUGGAUUUCCAUGGUAAACAUGAGCAGUGGUAGAUCAAAAAGUUAUUUUUAUUAAAUAAAGAGUGUUAUUCCUAGACUAGAGAUUAAAAAAAUUUUUUUUGAUAUUGUUUUUGUGAUGGUUCUUUUUGACCAGAUUUAAGGUAACAAGUUGGGGAAGCAUAAUAUUGGUCUUCUGUGUUCUACGAUUGCAUAGCCUUGUUUUACUUGUUUGUUUUGAACUUUUUUAUACUGAGUCUUAUCUGAUAAGAAUUCAGGUAGACAAUUAAAUAGUCAAAGGAGAAGCAACUGGAGAAACACAAAAUAGCCUUGCUAAUCUAUAUACUAGCUAAUCAACUCCUAAUUUUGAAUGUUGAUUGGAUUCACAGACUGUGAAAUGGAGUUCUGUAAAGUUUUCGUAACUAAACCUCAACUUAAUUUUGGUCUUUUGUAAAAAACUUGCCCAUGUUUGUGAAGUUCAGAAACAAAAUACUAAGUUUAAAUACACCAGGGUUGACUCAAGUUCCAAAGCAGAAAAUGGAACAAGCAGAUAUUUUAGGAAACAGACUGAGUCAGCAUGGUUCUUAGAAAUGGUUAUCUGCACACCUAAAUCCCUCUGCCAUCCUGAGGAUAAAUAAUUUUGUUCUAUGGAUCAUCUCAUUUGCUGACUUAGAUAAAUAUAGAUUUCUGGUUCCCAUCAAAAGAUAGAUGAAAUGUUUUCCAAGCAUUUCUCUGUUGUGGUUUUUUUUCUACAGUAUUUCAUUAACUUUUGAAACAAUUUUAGUUCACUAUGAGUUUUGCUUUGAUAAUUAUCCUCAUUUUGUGACUUCUAAAAAUAAGAUAUGUAUAUAUACAUAUAUAAAUUGAUGUCUAUAUGUAGAGAUAUACAUCUGUAAAUAUGCCUGUGAAUAAAAAUAUUUUAUCAAUCAUGUUGAUGCCAUGGAUUCUAAGCAUGACCAAUCGGUUCAGAGCGUGUUGCAUAGGAAUGCUGUUUACAUUUAUAACUUCUUAUUUUAAAUUCUUUACUCCUUACAAAUAGUGAUUUUACUUGAAAUAGAUUUUUUUAACUGAAAAAUGACCCCUACCUAUUAAAAAAAUCAUAUAUUUAACAACAUAAGCCUUUUCAAGAAUGCAUCAUUGUCAUCAAAUCUCAAAUCUCCCCAGAAAAGUUUUCCUUGCAUAAUCUUAGUUAUGUCUGAUUUUUUAUUGUCUAUCAAAGAAAUAACAUUUCUUCAGUUCGGAUUUUAAGGUGAUAUGCAAUAUCUAGUAUUUUUUGAUUCUAUUUAUCUUUGAUUUAAAUAUAAUAAGGCUGAAUAUAAAUGACCAAUGAUCCUAGAUAUGGCAUACGAUGGAAUAUGGGGCUUCUUUCUUAUCUCAUACUUUUAUUUACAUGCUAUUCUAUGACUUUUUCCUUUACUUUUUUUCUGUGGUUUUUGCUUAUGCCAUUUUGUCAAUCUGGAAAUAAGUCUAUGUACCCAGCUAAGUUUGCUGAUAACCUUAGUCCCUGAAGUCCUAAACUACAUGCAAGAAAGCUGUAGGGAGAAGAGUUGGUGAUCAGAGGCCAUACACAUUAAGACUGCAAGCUAUCAAAGAUAAAUUGAGUAAGUUAGAAUACAUGCUUCAUAUAGUGGGAUGACAUGGGUGGUCAGCAACUAGAUAAGUAAAAGCCUCUAAAACACGUGUUGACUAAAACCUCAGGAAAGGAAAAAAGCAGAACACACAGAGUAAAUAGAGCCAAGGCAAGCUGUGAAUCAUUACAGAAUUCAUCUCUAGCCUCCCUAGGCAGCUCAAUAAGGUCUUACUGAGGAGCUACCUAGGUCUUUGUGUAUCAAGGUUCUGCUAGACACUUAGUGUAUCAAGGCUCUGCUAGCCUUUGCAUCUCAAAUGUUAUCUCUUCAAUAAAGUCUUUUUAGUAUCCCCAAAGCUACAGUUAAUAUGUCCCUCAAUACUUUAUCAGUUCCCAUUUUAUAAUUUCUUUCUAAUGUUAUUCAGUCAACAUUGAGCACCCACAGUGUGCCAAGCAUUCUGGUAGAAGUUAUAAAUACAGUAACAAAUGAGAAAGAUAAAGUAUCUGUCCUUAUGAAACUUACAAUUAUAGUUGUAUGACUUUAAGUCUAUCAAAUGAUAUUUAUGGAAUAUAAUAUGAAUAAUUGAAUAUGAAUAAUUCAAUAAUUGUUUAACGAUAAAACUUAAAAUAUGACAUUUAAAUAAUAUAAUAUUCUUUAAAUACACUCAAUUAGGCUUUAAACUACCAUUCCAAAAGGAUGCUAGGAAAUUCCUUAUCAGUCAUUCUUAGUCUUCCAUUUCCUCCUAAGAUCACACGAGGAGAAUUUGCAAUGCUCAGAAGAUGGAAGAAAGCUACUGACUUUUCCCUCUGUCAUGGUUGUUAGUAUCAUCUUUUCCAAGUUCACAGCAUACCUUGAAAUCCAGGAACUCUCUUUUAUGCCACAUGUAGAGUGUGGGUUCUUUGCUCAGAUUCAGACUUCUUAGAUGUACUAUCCUCCUAUCAUACCCACUUAGGUCUGGCCACCUCUUUAGGGACCAACUAUGGUAUUGAAGAAACCUACAGGCAUCUUUUUCUCCAGCCAGGCAUCUCUACCUUGCUGCUUUCCUCCCUAAGAUGUCUGGCAUAAUCUCCUCAUGAUUUUAGGCUUUUUAUAAAAGGCAGGCUUCUUCAGGUUACUUUCACUUUCUACCAGGCUAUAAACCAUGAGGGGAAGAAUUACAAAGCUCUAUUAUCUCAGUAAAAUGAGAAAAGAGAAAAUAUAUCUGAACCUCUCAAAAAUGUAUUUGCCAGUCUAAAAUGGAAGAUAGAGAUUAUAUAAGUGACUAUUAUACACGAGAAAAAUAAUUGUAAUGCACCCAGAGAAUUUAUUCCUAAAAGUAAAAUAAGUAGGUAUGCCAAUAUUUAGCUACAUUUGUGCCCAUCACAGCAUUACUUAUUAAAGCCCAAAACAACAACAACAACAACAACAGCAACAAAACAAACCAGGAAUCAACACUAGUGUUCAACAAUGGAAGAGUGGUCAGAUAAAGUAUGUUGCAUCUGUACAAGUCUGUACUACGUGGAUAUGUUCUGAUGGGACUGCUAUUCACAAAAGUAACCGGAUUAUGCAGCAGAGUUGUGACAUAACUGAUGUCUGGCUGUGAUUUGGAAGUACACAUAACCUAAAACAACCAGCUGAGGUGACCAAGCAGUGAAAGCCCAGAAGGACUUUAAGUGCUGAAAGAAGGAAGAAAUCCUCAGGAAGUCCAGCCUCAUUGCAACGAAAUAGACAAGUAGUGUCAGUCAACAGCAAUCCUUCAUGAUGUUUCCCUUGGCCAGAAAUGCACUAAGCAGUCUCAAGAUUCGAAGCAUUCAGCAAAGUAUGGCAAGAAAGAGCCCCGUAAAACACUCACCAGAUUUUCAUGACAAAUAUGGUAAUGUUGUGCUAGCCAGUGGCACUGCUUUCUGUGUUGCUGCAUGGGUGUUUACAACUACUCAGAUUGGAAUAGAAUGGAACCUAUCCCCUGUUGGCAGAGUUACCCCAAAAGAGUGGAAAAAACAGUAACCAUCACAGUUGUAAUGACAGAAUUAUUUAAAAAAAAAAACAACUUGUCAUGUAAGCACUCUGCUGCUUAUUAAAAUAUAACAUAAUUGAAAAAAAUAAAAUGUGUUUUAAAAGUUUAAAAAGUCUUUGCAAAUGGUCACUUUAUAUGUAUAUUACCUGGAAGC
Molecule: non-coding RNA, 12107 nt
Organism: Callithrix jacchus (white-tufted-ear marmoset)
Lineage: Eukaryota; Metazoa; Chordata; Mammalia; Primates; Cebidae
Source: RefSeq, a predicted model, not a curated record